UCAUAGACAGACAAAUGAUCAUACUUAGGGGGUCGUCUAAUCGUUAGGUCAUAUCUUAGUUAUGCUGUUAUAGGCCAAGGCUGCCGGGGUCCGGAAACAUGAUCACCUGACAGGCCUCUGUCACUCCACUGGGUCAUGGUUUCCUCUCCUCUCCUUUCCUCUCCUCAUCAAGCAGACUAGUUAUGCUGAUUCUUGUAGUUUUUCUGCUUCUCCCCCCUAUAUUUAUUUACAGGUAUCGCCGCCCUCGGAGCUGCAUAAUGACCUCCGGCCCCGCUGAAGUGAUUGUGCAUCAUAUUUUUUGUGUGUGUUUCUGUGCUCUGUGCCUCUCCUCUCCUCUCCUCUCCUCUCCUCUCCUCUCCCCCCCCUUCUCCUUUUCCUCUCCCUCUCCUCUUCUUUCCUCUCCUCUUUCCCCUCCUCCUCCUUCUCCUUCUCCUCUCCUCUACCUCCCCUUCACUCUACUUCUCCUCUCCUCUACCCCUCUCCUCUCCUCUCCUCUCCUCUCCUCUCCUCUCCUACCUAUCCUAUCCUCUACCUGUCCUCCCCCUUCUCCUCUCUCUUUACCCAGCCGGCCAUCAGCAGGAGGGUCCUCCUACAUGAGCCUGGUCCUGCUCAAGGUUUCUUCCUGUUAAAGGGGAGUUUUUCCUUGCCACUGUUGCUUGUCUGGGGUCAGGCCCUGUGAUUCUGGAAAGCGCCUUGAAACAAUUUAGAUUGUAUAAGACGCUAUAUAAAUAAAGAUUGAUUGAUUGAUUGAUCCACAGGGCCUCAUCCACCUGGCCAGCAGGACCGCCGCUUUUAUAAUACAGUUUGUACAGAGGUUUUUAACAGGGCCGGUAAACCUGAUGUGGAGAGAUGUGGCCAGAUGUGUCUUCAGACGGGGAACCCACGGUGCACGGAGCCAGGCUGGACGUCUCGGCCGAAGCCACGCCGAGGCUGACGGCUGCACUGUGGUGGACCCGUACCUUACUCCUCCAGCACGUAGUGGCCGUGGCAGGGCCAGACCUAACGGGCGCAGAGGCAAUGGGUUCCCUGUUAGGCAUCCGCUCUACCCAGGCAGCUGAGGGGGUGCUUCGGCUAUGGAGGAACAGACUCAGCACGAGAGAGAGGCACAUCCUUGAGGACUACGGCCAGGGGACCGAACCCGACAGCGAGGACCCCUUCCCGGAGAUCAGGCUGGUUGCCCACCUCGGGAAUCUAGACGGUCCUCUCCUCAGACCAGCAAAGAUCUUCUCCCUGGUAGCAGUCGAUAAGAAGACCCUAUACAACGACUGUGUGAGGGUACUAAACAGGAGAGGACUGUCGAACAGGAGCACCAGCGUGUGGGCUGAUCGACUGGGAGGGGAUGGAGCCCGCCCCUGCUGGCGGGUCCUUUACAAGCCGCCCUUGAAGAAGAGAACCGGAGACCUCCAAUGGAGGAUCUUACAAGGGGCCGUCGCCCUGAACGCUCUUCUCUCCAGAAUGAACACUGCUGUGUCGGACCAGUGCCCAUUUUGUUCCAAGUGAGAGACUGUGUAUCAUGCGUACAGUGAAUGCGAGAGGCUCGCUGUGCUUUUUAACACCAUGAAAACUGUUUUUAAUGGUUUUAACAAACCCUUUUCGAUAAAAGCUCUUAUUUAUGGUGCAGGGUACAACAAAGCUGCUAACAAGUGGCAGCUCCUUAAUUUUAUUUGCGGAGAAGCCAAAAUGGCUAUAUACAUAUCAAGGGGGAAAAAAACUGCUAAAUCUGGGGAUUGUGAGGCCGCCUCUGUGUGGCACUGUAAUGUCCGUUGUAGGCUGAGGUGGGAGUUUGCCUUUUAUAAAAUGAUAAAUGACCUCAGCCAAUUCCGCAAUGUAUGGUGCCUCCAAGGUGUAUUAUGCACUGUCGCAGAGAACCAUUUGGUUUUUGCACAACCCCUAGUGGGAUGAAUUGUAUUUGCUAUUCCCUAAUAUUUAUCUAUUUAUUUAUUUAUUCUGUGUGUUUUUUAAGCAGGGCGUUUUUGUGUCCCUGUGUAAUUUGUAAAUAAAGUGUUUUUGUAAAAAUCAAAAAUCUCUUCUCUUCUCUUCUCCUCCUCAUCAAGUAGACUAGUGAUGCUAUUUUUCUGCUUCUUCUCCCCCCCUUCUGUAUUCAUCUAGAGCAGCGGUCACCAACCUUUUUAAAGCUGAGGGCUGCCUUAAGAUUCCCAAAUGGCUUGAGAGCUACCAGCUCAAAACAUAUGUACAAACAAAUCAAGAAAUCAAAAACAUUCAAUACUGUAUUCACACAAAAAAACAAUACAGUGAUCCCUCGUUUAUCACGGGAGUUGCGUUCCAAAAAUAACACGCGAAAAGAGAAAUCCGCGAAGUAGUCAGCUUUAUUUUUUU
This 2337-nucleotide long non-coding RNA is filed under the name Takifugu rubripes (torafugu). RNAcentral's name for it is "lncRNA (ENSTRUG00000029337.1)". Lineage: Eukaryota; Metazoa; Chordata; Actinopteri; Tetraodontiformes; Tetraodontidae. The record is from RNAcentral.